GGCCUGAUAGCAUAGUUGGUUAGUGCGUCUGUUCGAAUUAGCAUGUAUCGCAAAUUUAAACAGAUAACCCCGGUUCGAAUCCGGUUCAGGUCA
Molecule: non-coding RNA, 93 nt
Organism: Mycena leptocephala
Lineage: Eukaryota; Fungi; Basidiomycota; Agaricomycetes; Agaricales; Mycenaceae
Source: the annotation of a GenBank genome assembly